This 470-nucleotide ribosomal RNA is filed under the name uncultured bacterium. RNAcentral describes it as "bacterial SSU rRNA". It matches the Rfam family "Bacterial small subunit ribosomal RNA", at positions 9 to 524 of the family's 1533-position model. The record is from RNAcentral.
GAGUUUGAUCCUGGCUCAGAGCGAACGCUGGCGGCAGGCCUAACACAUGCAAGUCGAACGGAUCCUUCGGGAUUAGUGGCGGACGGGUGAGUAACACGUGGGGAACGUGCCCUUUGGUUCGGGACAACUCAGGGAAACUUGAGCUAAUACCGGAUGUGCCCUUCGGGGGAAAGAUUUAUCGCCAUUGGAGCGGCCCGCGUCUGAUUAGCUUGUUGGUGAGGUAAAGGCUCACCAAGGCUACGAUCAGUAGCUGGUCUGAGAGGAUGAUCAGCCACAUUGGGACUGAGACACGGCCCAAACUCCUACGGGAGGCAGCAGUGGGGAAUCUUGCGUAAUGGGCGAAAGCCUGACGCAGCCAUGCCGCGUGAAUGAUGAAGGUCUUAGGGUUGUAAAAUUCUUUCAGCAGGGACGAUAAUGACGGUACCUGCAGAAGAAGCCCCGGCUAACUUCGUGCCAGCAGCCGCCGUAAC